AUUGAACGCUAGCGGGAUGCUUUACACAUGCAAGUCGAACGAGUGGCGGACGGGUGAGUAAUAUAUCGGAACGUCCGCAGUAGCGGGGGAUCACUACUCGAAAGAGUGGCUAAUACCGCAUAAUAUUGGAUCGGCCGAUAUCGGAUUAGCUAGGUGGUGGGGUAAAGGCUCACCAAGGCCACGAUCCCUAGCUGGUUUGAGAGGACGACCAGCCACACUGGGACUGAGACACGGCCCAGACUCCUACGGGAGGCAGCAGUGGGGAAUUUUGGACAAUGGGGGAAACCCUGAUGCAGCCAUCCCGCGUGUAUGAGAAGGCCUUCGGGUUGUAAAGUACUUUUGGCAGGGAAGCGGUAUCCGCGGAAUAAGCACCGGCUAACUACGUGCCAGCAGCCGCGGUAAUAC
RNAcentral lists this ribosomal RNA (405 nucleotides) under uncultured bacterium. RNAcentral describes it as "partial 16S ribosomal RNA". It matches the Rfam family "Bacterial small subunit ribosomal RNA", at positions 30 to 526 of the family's 1533-position model. The record is from RNAcentral.